Molecule: long non-coding RNA, 281 nt
Organism: Xyrauchen texanus (razorback sucker)
Lineage: Eukaryota; Metazoa; Chordata; Actinopteri; Cypriniformes; Catostomidae
Exons: 3
Source: RefSeq, a predicted model, not a curated record
UGGACAAGAAGAGGCACACAGACUUCUGAAUGGCUGAAUGCACAAGUGUCCUUGAGUGCUCCAGAUAUUCAGCGAGUGAAAUUCUCCGGGAACAGAACAGUUGGAGGCAGUGGGUUCAUAGCUAUUGAUGACUUCAGAGUGACUACAGGGGCUUGUGAGGAUCACAACCCAUGUGGAUUUGAGUCCCUCUCACUAUGUGGCUUUGAAAAUGAUGUGACUGACAGUUCUGUCUGGCACCAUGUGGAUGGCAGCAGUGGUCACACUGACCAUACAUACAGAUC